This 114-nucleotide ribosomal RNA is filed under the name Acanthosepion pharaonis. The record is from RNAcentral. Lineage: Eukaryota; Metazoa; Mollusca; Cephalopoda; Sepiida; Sepiidae.
UUACAGCCAUAUCACAUUGAAACACCAGUUGCUAUAUGAUCACUGAAGUUAAGCAACAUCAAACCUGGUCAGGACUUAGAUGGGUGAUUGCUUGGGAAUACCAGGUGCUGUAUG